RNAcentral lists this ribosomal RNA (466 nucleotides) under uncultured Syntrophobacteraceae bacterium. RNAcentral describes it as "bacterial SSU rRNA". It matches the Rfam family "Bacterial small subunit ribosomal RNA", at positions 338 to 795 of the family's 1533-position model. Lineage: Bacteria; Pseudomonadati; Thermodesulfobacteriota; Syntrophobacteria; Syntrophobacterales; Syntrophobacteraceae. The record is from RNAcentral.
CCUACGGGCGGCUGCAGUGAGGAAUUUUGCGCAAUGGGGGCAAUCCUGACGCAGCAACGCCGCGUGGGUGAUGAAGGCCUUCGGGUCGUAAAGCCCUGUCAGGUGGGAAGAAUGUCCCGGAAUUGAACAGGUUUCGGGAGUGACGGUACCACCAGAGGAAGCACCGGCUAACUCCGUGCCAGCAGCCGCGGUAAUACGGAGGGUGCAAGCGUUAUUCGGAAUUACUGGGCGUAAAGCGCGUGUAGGCGGUCCUGCAAGUCUGAUGUGAAAGCCCCGGGCUUAACCCGGGAAGUGCAUUGGAAACUGUGGGACUUGAGUACUGGAGAGGAUGGGGGAAUUCCCGGUGUAGAGGUGAAAUUCGUAGAGAUCGGGAGGAAUAUCAGUGGCGAAGGCGCCCAUCUGGACGGUAACUGACGCUGAGACGCGAAAGCGUGGGGAGCAAACAGGAUUAGAUACCCCUGUAGUC